GAUGAACGCUGGCGGCGUGCUUAACACAUGCAAGUCGAGCGAAGCACCUUGAAGUCUUCGGACUAAGGGGUGACUGAGUGGCGGACGGGUGAGUAACGCGUGGGCAACCUGCCUUGCACUGGGGGAUAACAGCCAGAAAUGGCUGCUAAUACCGCAUAAGACCGAAGCGCCGCAUGGCGCGGCGGCCAAAGCCCCGGCGGUGCAAGAUGGGCCCGCGUCUGAUUAGGUAGUUGGCGGGGUAACGGCCCACCAAGCCGACGAUCAGUAGCCGACCUGAGAGGGUGACCGGCCACAUUGGGACUGAGACACGGCCCAGACUCCUACGGGAGGCAGCAGUGGGGAAUAUUGCACAAUGGGGGAAACCCGUGAUGCAGCGACGCCGCGUGAAGGAUGAAGUAUUCGGUAUGUAAACUUCUAUCAGCAGGGAAGAAGAUGACGGUACCUGACUAAGAAGCCCGGCUAACUACGUGACAGCAGCCGCCGUAAG
Molecule: ribosomal RNA, 487 nt
Filed under: uncultured bacterium
Lineage: Bacteria
Description: bacterial SSU rRNA
Rfam family: Bacterial small subunit ribosomal RNA
Source: RNAcentral